GGUGCUUGCACCGGGUGGAUGAGUGGCGAACGGGUGAGUAACACGUGAGUAACCUGCCCCUGACUUCGGGAUAAGCCCGGGAAACUGGGUCUAAUACCGGAUACGACUGCCGGACGCAUGUCUGGUGGUGGAAAGUUUUUUCGGUUGGGGAUGGGCUCGCGGCCUAUCAGUUUGUUGGUGAGGUAAUGGCUCACCAAGACGACGACGGGUAGCCGGCCUGAGAGGGCGACCGGCCACACUGGGACUGAGACACGGCCCAGACUCCUACGGGAGGCAGCAGUGGGGAAUAUUGCACAAUGGGGGAAACCCUGAUGCAGCGACGCAGCGUGCGGGAUGACGGCCUUCGGGUUGUAAACCGCUUUCAGCAGGGAAGAAGCGCAAGUGACGGUACCUGCAGAAGAAGUACCGGCUAACUACGUGCCAGCAGCCGCGGUAAUACGUAGGGUACGAGCGUUGUCCGGAAUUAUUGGGCGUAAAGAGCUCGUAGGUGGUUGGUCACGUCUGCUGUGGAAACGCAACGCUUAACGUUGCGCGUGCAGUGGGUACGGGCUGACUAGAGUGCAGUAGGGGAGUCUGGAAUUCCUGGUGUAGCGGUGAAAUGCGCAGAUAUCAGGAGGAACACCGGUGGCGAAGGCGGGACUCUGGGCUGUAACUGACACUGAGGAGCGAAAGCAUGGGGAGCGAACAGGAUUAGAUACCCUGGUAGUCCAUGCCGUAAACGUUGGGCACUAGGUGUGGGGGGCAUUCCACGUUCUCCGCGCCGUAGCUAACGCAUUAAGUGCCCCGCCUGGGGAGUACGGUCGCAAGGCUAAAACUCAAAGGAAUUGACGGGGGCCCGCACAAGCGGCGGAGCAUGCGGAUUAAUUCGAUGCAACGCGAAGAACCUUACCAAGGCUUGACAUACACCGGACCGUCCUGGAAACAGGUCCUCUUCUUUGAAGCUGGUGUACAGGUGGUGCAUGGUUGUCGUCAGCUCGUGUCGUGAGAUGUUGGGUUAAGUCCCGCAACGAGCGCAACCCUCGUUCUAUGUUGCCAGCAUGUGAUGGUGGGAACUCAUAGGAGACUGCCGGGGUCAACUCGGAGGAAGGUGGGGAUGACGUCAAAUCAUCAUGCCCUUUAUGUCUUGGGCUUCACGCAUGCUACAAUGGCUGGUACAGAGAGAGGCGAACCCGUGAGGGCAAGCGAAUCCCUUAAAGCCAGUCUCAGUUCGGAUCGUAGUCUGCAAUUCGACUACGUGAAGUCGGAGUCGCUAGUAAUCGCAGAUCAGCAACGCUGCGGUGAAUACGUUNCCCGGGCCUUGUACACACCGCCCGUCAAGUCACGAAAGUCGGUAACACCCGAAGCCGGUGGCCUAACCGUAAGGAGG
This 1366-nucleotide ribosomal RNA is filed under the name Brevibacterium sp. Pc229. RNAcentral's name for it is "16S ribosomal RNA". It matches the Rfam family "Bacterial small subunit ribosomal RNA", at positions 75 to 1449 of the family's 1533-position model. The record is from RNAcentral. Lineage: Bacteria; Bacillati; Actinomycetota; Actinomycetes; Micrococcales; Brevibacteriaceae.